This is a small nucleolar RNA of Synchiropus splendidus (mandarinfish), 84 nucleotides long. RefSeq annotates it as small nucleolar RNA SNORD35. The transcript has a single exon. The record is from RefSeq and is a predicted model, not a curated record. NCBI's taxonomy places the organism in Eukaryota, Metazoa, Chordata, Actinopteri, Syngnathiformes, Callionymidae.
UGCAAAUGAUGUUUUUCUCACGAUGGUCUUCCAAGCCUCAGUGGUUCUGACGACGAUGCCUCAUGGCAACACUGAUGCAGUGCA